CCUACGGUGAGCAGCAGUGAGGAAUAUUGGUCAAUGGGCGCGAGCCUGAACCAGCCAAGUCGCGUGAGGGAAGACGGUCCUAUGGAUUGUAAACCUCUUUUGUCGGGGAGCAAAAGACGCCACGCGUGGCGUUCCGAGCGUACCCGAAGAAAAAGCAUCGGCUAACUCCGUGCAAGCAGCCGCGGUAAUACGGAGGAUGCGAACGAUAUCCGGAUUUAUUGGGUUUAAAGGGUGCGCAGGCGGAAGAGCAAGUCAGCGGUAAAAUUGAGAGGCUCAACCUCUUCGAGCCGUUGAAACUGGUGUUCUUGAGUGAGCGAGAAGUAUGCGGAAUGCGUGGUGUAGCGGUGAAAUGCAUAGAUAUCACGCAGAACUCCGAUUGCGAAGGCAGCAUACCGGCGCGCAACUGACGCUCAUGCACGAAAGUGUGGGUAUCGAACAGGAGUAGAUACCCCUGUAGUC
Molecule: ribosomal RNA, 459 nt
Filed under: uncultured bacterium
Lineage: Bacteria
Description: partial 16S ribosomal RNA
Rfam family: Bacterial small subunit ribosomal RNA
Source: RNAcentral